AAUUGCUUUAAAUCGUUGAAAAGUUCCCUCGACUAUCUUUCGUCUCCAUCAUCAGACUGUAAUGGCACUUGUAACUCACAUAGGUGCAAAGUUCUCGUCAAUAGAAACGAAUUAAGUUCAAAUAGCAGGUAAUUGCUAUAAUUCGUUGAAGAGUUCCCUCGACUAUCUUUCGUCUCCAUCAUCAGACUUUAAUGGCACUUGUAACUCAUAUAGGUGCAAAGUUCUCAUCAAUAGAAACGAAUUAAGUUCAAACAGCAGGUAAUUGCUAUAAAUCGUUAAAGAGUUCCCUCGACUAUCUUUCGUCUCCAUCAUCAGAUCGACUCCAGACCUUUAUUAAAUAGUAGUGCUUUAUAGUACUUAAUGAAAACAUGAUUAAAUUUACUAGUCACCGUUACGAUUUUUGAAAGUUGCCCUCGAUUUCUCUGGGAUCCCAUCAUCAGAUCCUGGUUUCCUUAUCAUGGUACCAAACUAUGAAUAUAUCCUUUCCAACAAAAAAAGAAUUAUCCAAAUCGGUUCAUAAACGAAGAAGUUAUCUCCGAACAUACAUA
Molecule: unclassified non-coding RNA, 548 nt
Filed under: Melitaea cinxia (Glanville fritillary)
Lineage: Eukaryota; Metazoa; Arthropoda; Insecta; Lepidoptera; Nymphalidae
Description: misc RNA ENSMCXG00005020417.1
Source: RNAcentral